CCUACGGGCGGCAGCAGUGGGGAAUUUUGCGCAAUGGGGGAAACCCUGACGCAGCAACGCCGCGUGCGGGACGAAGGCCCUCGGGUCGUAAACCGCUUUCAGCAGGGAAGACCUUACGACGGUACCUGCAGAAGAAGCUCCGGCUAACUACGUGCCAGCAGCCGCGGUAAUACGUGGGGGGCGAGCGUGAUUCGGAUUCAUUGGGCGUAAAGCGCGCGUAGGCGGCCGCCUAAGCGGAACCGCUAACCCCGGGGUUCAACCGCGGGCCGGGUUCCGGACUGGGCGGCUCGAGUGCGGAAGAGGAGAGUGGAAUUCCCGGUGUAGCGGUGGAAUGCGCAGAUAUCGGGAAGAACACCGAUGGCGAAGGCAGCUCUCUGGGCCGUCACUGACGCUGAGGCGCGAAAGCUGGGGGAGCGAACAGGAUUAGAUACCCCUGUAGUC
RNAcentral lists this ribosomal RNA (441 nucleotides) under uncultured bacterium. Its description in RNAcentral is "partial 16S ribosomal RNA". It matches the Rfam family "Bacterial small subunit ribosomal RNA", at positions 338 to 795 of the family's 1533-position model. The record is from RNAcentral.